This 336-nucleotide long non-coding RNA is filed under the name Mustela putorius furo (domestic ferret). RNAcentral describes it as "lncRNA (ENSMPUG00000026346.1)". The record is from RNAcentral. Lineage: Eukaryota; Metazoa; Chordata; Mammalia; Carnivora; Mustelidae.
GAGUGAUGGGCUAGCCUCGUGAGAGCUUCUCAAGCCUUUGCAGUUUCCAGGGAAAGUCCCACCCUCCUCUGGCGAUCUGUGUAUUCCUGAGCCCUAGCCUGGUGCCCUCUUCAUCGAGGUCUGGGUCAUGGACUCAAAGCCCCUGACAAAGCAAUGGAACAAGGAGCCAGGAAGCCUCAGAUCUAUCACUGGCUGUCUCUUGGACAGAUUAUGAGUUGGAGCCUAUGGUCGAUCGACUCCAGAGACUUUCUACAAAGCAAACAUUUAACAUGGACCUGAAGCCCUUUUUAAAAAAAACCAUCUCAAAACCAGAUCCAGCUUUCUGCAAGCUCAACC